GCUCCCAUGGCGUAGUGGUCACUGCAUCGCCUUGCACGCAGGAGACCCGGGUUCGAUUCCCGGCGGGGUCA
This 71-nucleotide transfer RNA is filed under the name Diaphorina citri (Asian citrus psyllid). It matches the Rfam family "tRNA". Rfam says of the family: Transfer RNA (tRNA) molecules are approximately 80 nucleotides in length. The record is from Rfam by way of RNAcentral. Lineage: Eukaryota; Metazoa; Arthropoda; Insecta; Hemiptera; Psyllidae.